UAACAGAGUAAUUGUACAGUG
RNAcentral lists this microRNA (21 nucleotides) under Arabidopsis thaliana (thale cress). RNAcentral's name for it is "ath-miR8178". Lineage: Eukaryota; Viridiplantae; Streptophyta; Magnoliopsida; Brassicales; Brassicaceae. The record is from miRBase by way of RNAcentral.